Molecule: ribosomal RNA, 264 nt
Filed under: uncultured bacterium
Lineage: Bacteria
Description: partial 16S ribosomal RNA
Rfam family: Bacterial small subunit ribosomal RNA
Source: RNAcentral
GUCCUUGCUGUAAACGAUGUAUACUUGGUGUAACCGGACUCAACCCUGGUUGUGCCGUAGCUAACGCGAUAAGUAUACCGCCUGGGAAGUACGCUCGCAAGGGUGAAACUCAAAAGAAUUGACGGGGACCCCGCACAAGCAGUGGAGCAUGUGGUUUAAUUCGAUGCAACGCGAAGAACCUUACCCAGGCUUGACAUACAGAGGAAUAUGGGAGAAAUUUCAUAGCCCGCAAGGGUCUCUGUACAGGUGCUGCAUGGCUGUCGU